UGAACGCUGGCGGCGUGCUUAACACAUGCAAGUCGAACGAACCUUCGGGUUAGUGGCGGACGGGUGAGUAACGCGUGAGAAUCUGCCCUCAGGAGGGGGAUAACGGUUGGAAACGACCGCUAAUACCCCAUAUGCCGCGAGGUGAAAUGAAUUUCGCCUGGGGAUGAGCUCGCGUCUGAUUAGCUAGUUGGUGGGGUAAAGGCCUACCAAGGCAUCGAUCAGUAGCUGGUCUGAGAGGAUGAUCAGCCACACUGGGACUGAGACACGGCCCAGACUCCUACGGGAGGCAGCAGUGGGGAAUUUUCCGCAAUGGGCGAAAGCCUGACGGAGCAACGCCGCGUGAGGGAUGAAGGCCUCUGGGCUGUAAACCUCUUUUAUCAAGGAAGAAGAUCUGACGGUACUUGAUGAAUAAGCCACGGCUAAU
This 424-nucleotide ribosomal RNA is filed under the name uncultured cyanobacterium. RNAcentral's name for it is "bacterial SSU rRNA". It matches the Rfam family "Bacterial small subunit ribosomal RNA", at positions 30 to 501 of the family's 1533-position model. The record is from RNAcentral. Lineage: Bacteria; Bacillati; Cyanobacteriota.